Molecule: unclassified non-coding RNA, 1703 nt
Filed under: Monomorium pharaonis (pharaoh ant)
Lineage: Eukaryota; Metazoa; Arthropoda; Insecta; Hymenoptera; Formicidae
Description: solute carrier family 35 member F5, transcript variant X8
Source: RNAcentral
UAGGUGCUUGACACGGCAGCUGACCGCCUGGCGUCGUUGUCCGCAUUGAUGAUGGCUCGCUCUUAUCUGUCUUCGCUCAUAGAUUGCGAUAGAUUUGUACGGAAUUGCCGUGGUUUUGUUACACCAACGUAAGCUUUUGUCUUCUUGAAAAGUGUCGAUAAAUCAACCGAUACGAAGCCCGCUCGUUAGCGGAAAAGAGCGAACAAUGUGAUAUGGGAUCAACAUCGGCUGGGACCGGAGCCGCAAAUAGCCGAACUAAAUUAAUAUAAAUACAAUGUGGUAAGGAAAAGAAUGAGAAUCGAGAUGAGCUCUUCCGUCGAAUUACGUCAGCGUAGACAACCGAGGAUAGUGGAGGAUCCUCACAAGCUUGCGGCGAUGAUGAAUAAAUCUCAAAGACUUGUUCUGGGACUUUUAGUUCUAUUGCUAGUCGAUAUAAUUUGGGUUUCCAGUUCUGAGCUCACUAAAUAUAUUUACAGGGAUGAGACAUUCGAAAAGCCAUUUUUUAGUACAUAUGUAAGAACAUCUAUGUUUACGCUUUACUUGCUUGGCUUGUGCUUUUGGCCACCUUGGCGGGAACAAUGUAAUAAACCUGCGACAUAUAUGUUUAUAGAUCCUAAUGUCGAAGAUGAUAACUUUUAUUCGGAGACUAAUACGAGUCUAAGUGAUCCAACGUUUGUUCCCAUAAAAACUCCGGAUCAUUGCGAUCGUUCAUCAGGUACGGAAAGUGAUGAUUCGUCCAUCCGUUCUGUAAGAUUCAGCAAAUUGGCGGAAGUACGUCAUAUGUCAGAAAGUGAUGCCACUGAGGCUCUAUUAGCACGACUUAGUUAUCAAGCUAGUGUCAGAGCUGGAGAACAUGCAAGACGACAAGCUAACAAACUCUCUAUCCAAAAAGUGGCUAAAAUAGCUCUUAUGUUCUGCUUAUUUUGGUUUAUGGCAAAUUAUAUAUAUCAAAUAUCAUUGGAGCAAACCCAAGUCAGAAUUGUUACUGUAUUGUCUUCGACGUCGAGUUUAUUUACUUUAUUUCUCGCUGCCUCUUUCCCUAGUAAUGGAGGGGAUAAAUUUACAUUAUCGAAAUUAGCUGCUGUGAUAGUUAGUAUCUUUGGUUUGGUAUUAGUUGGGAUUUCGGAUUUAACUAUAGAAAAUAAUAAUAUGUCAACGGGCAUAAUAUUAGCUCUAGUCAGUGCUUUUUUUUAUGCUGCAUAUAUUGUAUUUUUAAAAAGGAAAGUAGAUCACGAAGACAAGAUGGAUAUACCGAUGUUUUUUGGCUUUGUGGGAGUAUUCAAUUUAACACUUCUGUGGCCUUUAUUCUUUAUUCUUCAUUAUGGUCAUUGGGAAGAUUUUGAAUGGCCCAAUAGUCAUCAAUGGACAUUUUUAAUUAUAAAUGGUUUAAUUGGUACUGUUCUAAGCGAAGUUCUUUGGCUAUGGGGUUGUUUUCUGACAUCAUCUCUCGUAGCAACAAUGGCUGAAGUAUUCCAAUGCUAUUAGCAUUUUUGACGGCAUCUCUUUUAUCUUAUUAUGACAAUUGGGAUCCUGUUAUGGAUUUGAUAAAAAGAUUUUUUAUCUGGAUAUGCAGGAGAAGCAAUAGAUCUACAAGGUAUGAAACGAGUUUAUACAAAAGAACUGACGGAAGCGUCCCUCACCGAUUUUAAUGCGCUUUGGAUAUGUUGUAGAACAUAAAAAAAUAUUAGACCCAUAUUUUUUUA